Molecule: ribosomal RNA, 729 nt
Filed under: uncultured archaeon
Lineage: Archaea
Description: bacterial SSU rRNA
Rfam family: Archaeal small subunit ribosomal RNA
Source: RNAcentral
CCUCCAAGCUAUGGUGAAGGCGCGGCAAACGGCUCAGUAACACGUGGCCAACCUACCCUUGGGACGGAGACAACCCCGGGAAACUGGGGCUAAUCCCCGAUAGGUGAGGAAUCCUGGAAUGGACCCUCGCCCAAAAGACGUUGAGUCCAUGCUAUUCAGCGUCGCCCAAGGACGGAGCCGCGACCGAUCAGGUAGUUGGUGAGGCAACGGCUCACCAAGCCUAUAACCGGUACGGGCCGUGAGAGCGGGAGCCCGGAGAUGGGCACUGAGACAAGGGCCCAGGCCCUACGGGGCGCAGCAGUUGCGAAAACUCCGCAAUGCGCGAAAGCGUGACGGGGCUACCCCGAGUGCCGCCCGUUGAGGGCGGCUUUUCCACGGUGUAAGGAGCCGUGGGAAUAAGGAGAGGGCAAGACUGGUGUCAGCCGCCGCGGUAAUACCAGCUCUCCGGGUGGUGGGGACGAUUAUUGGGCUUAAAGCGUUCGUAGCCGGCUUAACAAGUCUCCCGUUAAAUCCAACGAUCUAAUCGUUGGGCUGCGGGAGAUACUGUUGGGCUAGGAGGCGGGAGAAGCCGACGGUAUUCUCGGGGUAGGGGUGAAAUCCUGUAAUCCCGGGAGGACCACCAGUGGCGAAGGCGGUCGGCUAGAACGCGCUCGACGGUGAGGGACGAAAGCUGGGGGAGCGAACCGGAUUAGAAACCCGGGUAGUCCCAGCUGUAAACGAUGCGGGCUA